RNAcentral lists this transfer RNA (72 nucleotides) under Fibrobacteria bacterium. Its description in RNAcentral is "tRNA-Cys". It matches the Rfam family "tRNA". From Rfam's summary of the family: Transfer RNA (tRNA) molecules are approximately 80 nucleotides in length. The record is from RNAcentral. Lineage: Bacteria; Pseudomonadati; Fibrobacterota; Fibrobacteria.
GAUCGAGUAUCCAAGUGGUUAAGGAGAUGGUCUGCAAAACCCUUAUCGUGGGUUCGAAUCCCACCUCGAUCU